CCUGCCCCUAGAGAAAUGGCAGGUGUGGCUGCCGUGCCACAUGUGUGUCAGUAGGUGGCAGAGAGGAGAAAAUAAGAGUGCCCUUAGUGUUCUGACCAAUGAACAUCUGAGUGAUUGGUAGCUAACAUU
This is a small nucleolar RNA of Rattus norvegicus (Norway rat), 129 nucleotides long. Ensembl annotates it as small nucleolar RNA SNORA17. Lineage: Eukaryota; Metazoa; Chordata; Mammalia; Rodentia; Muridae. The record is from Ensembl.